Molecule: ribosomal RNA, 492 nt
Filed under: uncultured bacterium
Lineage: Bacteria
Description: partial 16S ribosomal RNA
Rfam family: Bacterial small subunit ribosomal RNA
Source: RNAcentral
AGUGAACGCUGGCGGUAGGCCUAACACAUGCAAGUCGAACGGCAGCACAGUAAGAGCUUGCUCUUGCGAGUGGCGAGUGGCGGACGGGUGAGGAAUACAUCGGAAUCUACUUUUUCGUGGGGGAUAACGUAGGGAAACUUACGCUAAUACCGCAUACGACCUACGGGUGAAAGCAGGGGAUCUUCGGACCUUGCGCGAUUGAAUGAGCCGAUGUCGGAUUAGCUAGUUGGCGGGGUAAAGGCCCACCAAGGCGACGAUCCGUAGCUGGUCUGAGAGGAUGAUCAGCCACACUGGAACUGAGACACGGUCCAGACUCCUACGGGAGGCAGCAGUGGGGAAUAUUGGACAAUGGGCGCAAGCCUGAUCCAGCCAUACCGCGUGGGUGAAGAAGGCCUUCGGGUUGUAAAGCCCUUUUGUUGGGAAAGAAAAGCAGCAGGUUAAUACCCCGCUGUUCUGACGGUACCCAAAGAAUAAGCACCGGCUAACUUCGUG